RNAcentral lists this ribosomal RNA (460 nucleotides) under uncultured bacterium. RNAcentral's name for it is "partial 16S ribosomal RNA". It matches the Rfam family "Bacterial small subunit ribosomal RNA", at positions 338 to 795 of the family's 1533-position model. The record is from RNAcentral.
CCUACGGGAGGCAGCAGUGAGGAAUAUUGGUCAAUGGGCGGAAGCCUGAACCAGCCAAGUAGCGUGCAGGAUGACGGCCCUACGGGUUGUAAACUGCUUUUAUACGGGAAUAACGCGCCUUACGUGUAGGGCUUUGCAUGUACCGUAUGAAUAAGGACCGGCUAAUUCCGUGCCAGCAGCCGCGGUAAUACGGAAGGUCCGGGCGUUAUCCGGAUUUAUUGGGUUUAAAGGGAGCGUAGGCCGCAUGUCAAGCGUGCUGUGAAAUGUCCGGGCUGAACCCGGGCCUUGCAGCGCGAACUGGCGUACUUGAGUCCGCGGAAAGCAGGCGGAAUUCGUCGUGUAGCGGUGAAAUGCUUAGAUAUGACGAAGAACCCCGAUUGCGAAGGCAGCUUGCUGCAGCGGAACUGACGCUGAUGCUCGAAAGCGCGGGUAUCGAACAGGAUUAGAUACCCUGGUAGUC